RNAcentral lists this ribosomal RNA (724 nucleotides) under marine metagenome. RNAcentral describes it as "bacterial SSU rRNA". It matches the Rfam family "Bacterial small subunit ribosomal RNA", at positions 354 to 1092 of the family's 1533-position model. The record is from RNAcentral.
GCUAAGAAUAUUGCACAAUGGACGAAAGUCUGAUGCAGCGACACCGCGUGAAGGAUGAAGGCCCUAGGGUUGUAAACUUCUUUUAUUAGGGAAUAGCAAGGAAGGUACCUAAUGAAUAAGCAACGGCUAACUACGUGCCAGCAGCCGCGGUAAUACGUAGGUUGCAAACGUUGUCCGGAAUCACUGGGCGUAAAGGGUCCGUAGGCGGUUUGAUAAGUCUCAUAUGAAAGCUUCAAGCUCAACUUGGAGAUGUUGUGAGAUACUGUCAGACUAGAGACUGUUAGAGGUAAGUGGAAUUCCAGGUGUAGUGGUGAAAUGCGUAGAUAUCUGGAGGAACACCAGUGGCGAAAGCGACUUACUGGGACAGUUCUGACGCUAAGGGACGAAAGCGUGGGGAGCGAACCGGAUUAGAUACCCGGGUAGUCCACGCUGUAAACGAUGAUUGCUAGGUUUUCGGGGCAUCGACCCCUCGUGAGCCGAAGUUAACGCGUUAAGCAAUCCGCCUGAGUAGUACGGCCGCAAGGCUAAAACUCAAAGAAAUUGACGGGGGACCGCACAAGCAGCGGAGCGUGUGGUUUAAUUCGAUGGUAAGCGAAGAACCUUACCAGGGUUUGACAUGUAAGUAGUACUGAACCGAAAGGGGAUGGACCCGCAAGGGAGCUUACACAGGUGUUGCAUGGUUGUCGUCAGCUCGUGCCGUGAGGUGUUGGGUUAAGUCCCGCAA